This 253-nucleotide ribosomal RNA is filed under the name uncultured bacterium. RNAcentral describes it as "partial 16S ribosomal RNA". It matches the Rfam family "Bacterial small subunit ribosomal RNA", at positions 524 to 776 of the family's 1533-position model. The record is from RNAcentral.
UACAGAGGUGGCAAGCGUUGUUCGGAAUUACUGGGCGUAAAGGGCGAGUAGGUGGCCAUCUAAGUCAGACGUGAAAUCCCCCGGCUUAACCUGGGAACUGCGUCUGAUACUGGACGGCUUGAGUAUGGGAGAGGAACGUAGAAUUCCAGGUGUAGCGGUGAAAUGCGUAGAUAUCGGGAGGAACACCGGUGGCGAAGGCGGUUCUCUGGGCCUGUACUGACGCUGAGGAGCGAAAGCGUGGGGAGCGAACAGG